UUGUUUUGAACAUUUUUUUCA
This 21-nucleotide non-coding RNA is filed under the name Caenorhabditis elegans. Lineage: Eukaryota; Metazoa; Nematoda; Chromadorea; Rhabditida; Rhabditidae. The record is from RNAcentral.